AUUGAACGCUGGCGGCAGGCCUAACACAUGCAAGUCGAGCGAGCGGCGAACGGGUGCGUAAUGUCUGGGAAACUGCCUGUAAGCUGGGGAUAACUACUGGAAACGGUAGCUAAUACCGCAUACCAUCAGAUGUGCCCAGAUGGUAUUAGCUAGUAGGGGGGGGAACGGCUCACCUAGGCGACGAUCCCUAGCUGGUCUGAGAGGAUGACCAGCCACACUGGAACUGAGACACGGUCCAGACUCCUACGGGAGGCAGCAGUGGGGAAUAUUGCACAAUGGGCGAAAGCCUGAUCCAGCCAUGCCGCGUGUGUGAAGAAGGCCUUCGGGUCGUAAAGCACUUUCAGCGGGGAGGCGUUACCCGCAGAAGAAGCACCGGCUAACUCCGUGCCAGCAGCCGCGGUAAUUC
RNAcentral lists this ribosomal RNA (406 nucleotides) under uncultured bacterium. RNAcentral describes it as "partial 16S ribosomal RNA". It matches the Rfam family "Bacterial small subunit ribosomal RNA", at positions 30 to 526 of the family's 1533-position model. The record is from RNAcentral.